GGGGACGGAGCUCAAUUGGUAGAGCAUUCGCCUUGCACGCGAAAGGUACGGGGUUCGAUACCCCGCGCCUCCA
Molecule: transfer RNA, 73 nt
Organism: Selaginella moellendorffii
Lineage: Eukaryota; Viridiplantae; Streptophyta; Lycopodiopsida; Selaginellales; Selaginellaceae
Rfam family: tRNA
About the family: Transfer RNA (tRNA) molecules are approximately 80 nucleotides in length. Their secondary structure includes four short double-helical elements and three loops (D, anti-codon, and T loops).
Source: Rfam